RNAcentral lists this ribosomal RNA (497 nucleotides) under uncultured bacterium. Its description in RNAcentral is "partial 16S ribosomal RNA". It matches the Rfam family "Bacterial small subunit ribosomal RNA", at positions 28 to 507 of the family's 1533-position model. The record is from RNAcentral.
GAUGAACGCUGGCGGCGUGCCUAAUACAUGCAAGUCGAGCGAACGGACGAGAAGCUUGCUUCUCUGAUGUUAGCGGCGGACGGGUGAGUAACACGUGGAUAACCUACCUAUAAGACUGGGAUAACUUCGGGAAACCGGAGCUAAUACCGGAUAAUAUUUUGAACCGCAUGGUUCAAAAGUGAAAGACGGUCUUGCUGUCACUUAUAGAUGGAUCCGCGCUGCAUUAGCUAGUUGGUAAGGUAACGGCUUACCAAGGCAACGAUGCAUAGCCGACCUGAGAGGGUGAUCGGCCACACUGGAACUGAGACACGGUCCAGACUCCUACGGGAGGCAGCAGUAGGGAAUCUUCCGCAAUGGGCGAAAGCCUGACGGAGCAACGCCGCGUGAGUGAUAAAGGUCUUCGGAUCGUAAAACUCUGUUAUUAGGGAAGAACAUAUGUGUAAGUAACUGUGCACAUCUUGAUGGUACCUAAUCAGAAAGCCACGGCUAACUACGUG